This 2952-nucleotide long non-coding RNA is filed under the name Citrus x clementina. Its description in RNAcentral is "Citrus clementina (C. clementina) long non-coding RNA (CCLE_LNC006153)". Lineage: Eukaryota; Viridiplantae; Streptophyta; Magnoliopsida; Sapindales; Rutaceae. The record is from RNAcentral.
GAGUCCGGCGGACGAAGUUGGCCAGCCCCACCCCCCAAGGCUAUAGCCCCACCCGUUUUUGUGGCCUUUUUACGCAGGACGAAUUUGGCGCCCCGGCCUUCGAGCGGUUAUUUUUAGGCGCGGCUGUUCCCGCGGCCUAUUUUUGGCACACGGAGGGGCCUUGCAAAGUCUCGCGCCAUUCCGAGUCCGGCAGACAAAGUUGGCCGGCCCCACCCCCCAAGGCUAUAGCCCACCCGUUUUUGUGGCCUUUUUCCGCUGGACGAACUUAGCGCCCCGGCCUUCGGGCGGUUAUUUUUGGGUGCGUCUGUGCCCGCGGCCUAUUUUUGGCACACGGAGGUACCUCACAAUGUCUCGCGCCAUUCCGAGUCCGGCGGACUAAGUUGGCCAGCCCCACCCCCCAAGGCUACAGUCCACCCGUUUUUGUGGCCUUUUUCCGCUGGACGAACUUGGCGCCCCGACCUUCGGGCCGUUAUUUGUGGGCGCGGCUGUGCCGCGGCCUAUUUUUGGCACACGGAAGCCGCUCGCAAAGUCUCGCGCCAUUCCAAGUCCGGCGGACGAAGUUGGCCGGCCCCACCCCGCAAGGCUAUAGCCCACCCGUUUUUGUGGCCUUUUUCCGCUGGACGAACUUUGCGCCCCAGCCUUCGGGCGGUUAUUUUUUAGCGCGGCUGUGCCCUCAGCCUUUUUUGGCACACGGAGGCGCCUCGUAAAGUCUCACGCCAUUCUGAGUCCGGCGGACGAAGUUGGCCAGCCCCACCCCCCAACGGUAUAGCCCACCCGUUUUUGUGGCCUUUUUACGCAGGACGAACUUGGCGCCCCGGCCUUCGAGCAGUUAUUUUUGGGUACGGCUGCGCCCGCGUCCUAUUUUUGGCACACGGAGGGGCCUCGCAAAGUCUCGCGCCAUUCCGAGUCCGGCGGACGAAGUUGGCCGGCCCCACCCCCCAAGGCUAUAGCCCACCCGUUUUUGUGGCCUUUUUCCGCUGGACGAACUUAGCGCCCCGGCCUUCGGGCGGUUAUUUUUGGGCGCGUCUGUGCCCGCAGCCUAUUUUUGGCACACCCAGGCGCCUCGCAAAGUCUCGCGCCAUUCCGAGUCCGGCGGACCAAGUUGGCCGGCCCCACCCCCCAAGGCUAUAGCCCACCCGUUUUUGUGGCCUUUUUCCGCUGGACGAACUUGGCGCCCCGGCCUUCGGGCGGUUAUUUUUGAGCGCGGUUUUGCCGCGGCUUAUUUUUGGCACACGGAAGCCGGUCGCAAAGUCUCGCGUCAUUCCGAGUCUGGCGGACGAAGUGGGCAAGCCCCACCCCCCAAGGCUAUAGCCCACCCGUUUUUGUGGCCUUUUUACGCAGGACGAACUUGGCGCCCCAGCCUUCGAGCGGUUAUUUUUGGGCGCGGCUGUGCCCGCGGCCUAUUUUUAGCACACAGAGGGGCCUCGCAAAGUCUCGCGCCAUUCCGAGUCCGGCGGACGAAGUGGGCCAGCCCCACCCCCCAAGGCUAUAGCCCACCCGUUUUUGUGGCCUUUUUCCGCUGGACGAACUUGGCGCCCCAACCUUCGGGCGGUUAUUUUUGGGCGCGGCUGUUCCCAUGGCCUAUUUUUGGCACACGGAGGCGCCUCACAACGUCUCGCGCCAUUCCGAGUCCGGCGGACGAAGUUGGCCAGCCCCACCCCCCACGGUUAUAGCCCACCCGUUUUUAUGGCCUUUUUCCGCUGGACGAACUUGGCGCCCCGGCCUUCGGGCGGUUAUUUUUGGGCGCAGCUGUGCCCGCGGCCUAUUUUUGGCACACGGAGUCGCCUCGCAAAGUAUCGCACCAAUCCGAGUCCGGCGGACGAGGUGGGCCAGCCCCACCCCCCAAGGCUAUAGCCCACCCGUUUUUGUGGCCUUUUUCCGCUGGACGAACUUGGCGCCCCAACCUUCGGGCGGUUAUUUUUGGGCGCGGCUGUUCCCGUGGCCUAUUUUUGGCACAAGGAGGUGCCUCGCAAAGUCUCGCACCAUUCCUAGUCCGGCGGACGAAGUUGAGCAGCCCCACCCCCCACGGCUAUAGCCCACCCGUUUUUAUGGCCUUUUUCCGCUGGACGAACUUGGCGUCCCGGCCUUCAGGCGGUUAUUUUUGGGCGCAACUGUGCCCGCGGCCUAUUUUUGGCACACGGAGGGACCUCGGAAUGUCUCGCGCCAUUCCGAGUCCGGCGGACGAAGUUGGCCAGCCCCUCCCCCCAAGGCUAUUGCCCACCCGUUUUUGUGGGUUUUUUCCGCGGGACGAACUUGGCGCCCCGGCCUUCGGGCGGUUAGUUUUGGGCGCGGCUGUGCCCAAGGCCUAUUUUUGGCACACGGAGGCACCUCGCAAAGGCUCGCGUAAUUCCGAGUCCGGCGGACUAAGUUGGCCAGCCCCACCCCCCAAGGCUAUAGCCCACCCGUUUUUGUGGGCUUUUUCCGCUGGACGAACUUGGCGCCCCGGCCUUCGGCCGGUUAUUUUUGGGCGUGGCUGUGCCCGCGGCCUAUGUUUGGUAUACGGAGAUGCCUCGCAAAGUAUCACGCCAAUCCGAGUCCGGCGGACGAAGUUGGCCAGCCCCACCCCCCAAGGCUGUAGCCCUCCCGUUUUUGUGGGCUUUUUCCGCUGGACGAACUUGGCGCCCCGGCCUUCGGGCGGUUACUUUUGGGUGUGGCUGUGCCCGCGGCCUAUUUUUGGCACACGGAGUCGCCUCGCAAAGUAUCGCGCCAAUCCGAGUCCGGCGGACGAAGUUGGCCAGUCCCACCCCCCAAGGCUAUCGCCCACCCGUUUUUGUGGGCUUUUUCCGCUGGACGAACGUGGCGCCCCGGCCUUCGGGGGGUUAUUUUUGGGCACGGCUGUGCCUGCGGCCUAUUUUUGGCACACGGAGGCACCUCGAAAUGUUUCGCGCCAUUCCGAGCCCAGCAGAUGAAGUUGGCCAGCCCCACCCCCCAAGGCUAUAGCCCACCCGUUUU